RNAcentral lists this ribosomal RNA (447 nucleotides) under uncultured bacterium. RNAcentral's name for it is "bacterial SSU rRNA". It matches the Rfam family "Bacterial small subunit ribosomal RNA", at positions 329 to 793 of the family's 1533-position model. The record is from RNAcentral.
CACCAGACUCCUACGGGAGGCAGCAGUGGGGGAUAUUGCACAAUGGGGGAAACCCUGAUGCAGCGACACCGCGUGGGUGAAGAAGCGCCUCGGCGCGUAAAGCCCUGUCAGCAGGGAAGAAAAUGACGGUACCUGAAGAAGAAGCCCCGGCUAACUACGUGCCAGCAGCCGCGGUAAUACGUAGGGGGCAAGCGUUAUCCGGAUUUACUGGGUGUAAAGGGAGCGUAGACGGCGAUGCAAGUCUGAAGUGAAGGCCCGGGGCUCAACCCCGGGACUGCUUUGGAAACUGUAUGGCUGGAGUGCUGGAGAGGCAAGCGGAAUUCCUAGUGUAGCGGUGAAAUGCGUAGAUAUUAGGAAGAACACCAGUGGCGAAGGCGGCUUGCUGGACAGUAACUGACGUUGAGGCUCGAAAGCGUGGGGAGCAAACAGGAUUAGAUACCCGCGUAC